This is a non-coding RNA of Caenorhabditis elegans, 223 nucleotides long. Lineage: Eukaryota; Metazoa; Nematoda; Chromadorea; Rhabditida; Rhabditidae. The record is from Ensembl.
AAAUGCUAAGGAAGACCUUUCCCCCCCCCUCUGAUAAAUAAUCAUAACACAAUAUUCAUUUACACCGGAGAACAUUGGAAAAUAAAAUAGAAUGGAUGGUGAAAAGAAAAGACAAGUUGCCUUUGAGAAAUUACUUGUUGCUUUAGUCGAAAACCGGUGAAGCGAGACAAGUUAGGAGAAAGGCUGAAUGGCUAUUCGGAAUGGUUAUGAGCAGAAAAUCCAU